GCCAGCGGUUAGGCCGGGAACUCAAAGGAGACUGCCAGUGAUAAACUGGAGGAAGGUGGGGAUGACGUCAAGUCAUCAUGGCCCUUACGAGUAGGGCUACACACGUGCUACAAUGGCGCAUACAAAGAGAAGCGACCUCGCGAGAGCAAGCGGACCUCAUAAAGUGCGUCGUAGUCCGGAUUGGAGUCUGCAACUCGACUCCAUGAAGUCGGAAUCGCUAGUAAUCGUGGAUCAGAAUGCCAC
RNAcentral lists this ribosomal RNA (243 nucleotides) under Enterobacter hormaechei. RNAcentral's name for it is "partial 16S ribosomal RNA". It matches the Rfam family "Bacterial small subunit ribosomal RNA", at positions 1117 to 1360 of the family's 1533-position model. Lineage: Bacteria; Pseudomonadati; Pseudomonadota; Gammaproteobacteria; Enterobacterales; Enterobacteriaceae. The record is from RNAcentral.